GGGGACGUGGUGGAAUGGCAGACACGCUAGCUUCAGGAGCUAGUGCCUUCAGUGGCAUGAGAGUUCGAGUCUCUCCGUCCCCA
Molecule: transfer RNA, 83 nt
Filed under: Elusimicrobia bacterium RIFCSPLOWO2_01_FULL_60_11
Lineage: Bacteria; Pseudomonadati; Elusimicrobiota
Description: tRNA-Leu
Rfam family: tRNA
About the family: Transfer RNA (tRNA) molecules are approximately 80 nucleotides in length. Their secondary structure includes four short double-helical elements and three loops (D, anti-codon, and T loops).
Source: RNAcentral